Molecule: long non-coding RNA, 1007 nt
Filed under: Gossypium barbadense (sea-island cotton)
Lineage: Eukaryota; Viridiplantae; Streptophyta; Magnoliopsida; Malvales; Malvaceae
Description: long non-coding RNA (GBAR_LNC016651)
Source: RNAcentral
UCUACAGUAAUUUGGAGAUGUUACAUUUUAAUAUAUUUCAGCAUAUGUUUUUCAUCAAAUGAAAUAAAAACUUUUUCCUUCUGUAAUCUAUUACAAAUCGAACUAUUUUAUUAAAAAAAUACUUUGAAUUCAAGAUAUCAAAGAAAUUGAUUACCUUCUAGAUUAUUAAAUCCCAAAUAUAAUUCUCUGAGUUGUGUCAGAUUUCCAAUACUUCUUGGAAUGAUCCCCGUCAAUUGAUUCAAGGACAAGGACAAAAUUUUAAGGUUGCUGCACUUGCCCAUACUUGACGGAAUGUUACCAGAUAACUCAUUUCUAUCUAAGUAAAGCCCUUCAAGCUUGGGAAGAUGUUGACACAUAUCAUUAUGAAAACUACCUGAUAGGCUAUUGUUGGAGAGAACAAUGGUCUUCAGAGAAGAAAUGUUGAAGAUCGAAGUUGGAAUCUGACUUGUAAGGCCUUUAAUUGCUUGAAUAUUAAGCAAUUCCAAACCAUGAAGAUUACCGAUUUCCUCAGGAAUUUGACCUGCACACAUAGUCGAAAAAUCAAGGUGUCAAACUACUUAUUUUGUUAGCAUAAGUCAAAGAGGUUUUCUUUUCUGUUCUACAAUAAUUUGGAGAUGUUACAUUUUAAUAUAUUUCAGAAUAUGUUUUUCAUCAAAUGAAAUAAAAACUUUUUCCUUCUGUAAUCUAUUACAAAUCAAACUAUUUUAUUAAAAAAAUACUUUGAAUUCAAGAUAUCAAAGAAAUUGAUUACCUUCUAGAUUAUUAAAUCCCAAAUAUAAUUCUCUGAGUUGUGUUAGAUUUCCAAUACUUCUUGGAAUGAUCCCCGUCAAUUGAUUCAAGGACAAGGACAAAAUUUUAAGGUUGCUGCACUUGCCCAUACUUGACGGAAUGUUACCAGAUAACUCAUUUCUAUCCAAGUAAAGCCCUUCAAGCUUGGGAAGAUGUUGACACAUAUCAUUAUGAAAACUACCUGAUAGGCUAUUGUUGGAGAGAACAAUGGUCUUCAG